Molecule: ribosomal RNA, 509 nt
Filed under: uncultured bacterium
Lineage: Bacteria
Description: bacterial SSU rRNA
Rfam family: Bacterial small subunit ribosomal RNA
Source: RNAcentral
GACGAACGCUGGCGGCGUGCCUAAUACAUGCAAGUCGAGCGGACCAAAGGGAGCUUGCUCCUGGAGGUUAGCGGCGAACGGGUGAGUAACACGUGGGCAACCUGCCUGUAAGACUGGGAUAACAUCGAGAAAUCGGUGCUAAUACCGGAUAAUAAAAAGAACUGCAUGGUUCUUUUUGAAAGAUGGUUUCGGCUAUCACUUACAGAUGGCCGCGGCGCAUUAGCUAGUUGGUGAGGUAACGGCUCACCAAGGCGACGAUGCGUAGCCGACCUGAGAGGGUGAUCGGCCACACUGGGACUGAGACACGGCCCAGACUCCUACGGGAGGCAGCAGUAGGGAAUCUUCCGCAAUGGACGAAAGUCUGACGGAGCAACGCCGCGUGAGUGAUGAAGGUUUUCGGAUCGUAAAACUCUGUUGUUAGGGAAGAACAAGUGCCGUUCGAAAGGGCGGCACCUUGACGGUACCUAACGAGAAAGCCACGGCUAACUACGUGCCAGCAGCCGCGGUAA